Molecule: ribosomal RNA, 1361 nt
Filed under: uncultured beta proteobacterium
Lineage: Bacteria; Pseudomonadati; Pseudomonadota; Betaproteobacteria
Description: 16S ribosomal RNA
Rfam family: Bacterial small subunit ribosomal RNA
Source: RNAcentral
CAGGCCUAACACAUGCAAGUCGAACGGUAACAGGGAGCUUGCUCCGCUGACGAGUGGCGAACGGGUGAGUAAUGUAUCGGAACGUACCAUUCAGUGGGGGAUAACGUAGCGAAAGUUACGCUAAUACCGCAUAUUCUGUGCGCAGGAAAGCAGGGGAUCGCAAGACCUUGCGCUGAUUGAGCGGCCGAUAUCAGAUUAGCUAGUUGGUGAGGUAAAAGCUCACCAAGGCGACGAUCUGUAGCGGGUCUGAGAGGAUGAUCCGCCACACUGGAACUGAGACACGGUCCAGACUCCUACGGGAGGCAGCAGUGGGGAAUUUUGGACAAUGGGGGCAACCCUGAUCCAGCCAUGCCGCGUGAGUNAAGAGGGCCUUCGGGUUGUAAAGCUCUUUCAGCCGGGAAGAAAAUGCAUGGGUUAAUACCCUGUGCAGAUGACGGUACCGGAAUAAGAAGCACCGGCUAACUACGUGCCAGCAGCCGCGGUAAUACGUAGGGUGCGAGCGUUAAUCGGAAUUACUGGGCGUAAAGCGUGCGCAGGCGGUUUUGUAAGACAGGCGUGAAAUCCCCGGGCUUAACCUGGGAACUGCGUUUGUGACUGCAAGGCUAGAAUACGGCAGAGGGGGGUGGAAUUCCACGUGUAGCAGUGAAAUGCGUAGAGAUGUGGAGGAACACCAAUGGCGAAGGCAGCCCCCUGGGUCGAUACUGACGCUCAUGCACGAAAGCGUGGGUAGCAAACAGGAUUAGAUACCCUGGUAGUCCACGCCCUAAACGAUGUCAACUAGGUGUUGGGAGGGUAAAACCUUUUAGUACCGUAGCUAACGCGAGAAGUUGACCGCCUGGGGAGUACGGCCGCAAGGUUAAAACUCAAAGGAAUUGACGGGGACCCGCACAAGCGGUGGAUGAUGUGGAUUAAUUCGAUGCAACGCGAAAAACCUUACCUACCCUUGACAUGUCAGGAACUUUCCAGAGAUGGAUUGGUGCCCGAAAGGGAGCCUGAACACAGGUGCUGCAUGGCUGUCGUCAGCUCGUGUCGUGAGAUGUUGGGUUAAGUCCCGCAACGAGCGCAACCCUUGUCGUUAAUUGCCAUCAUUUAGUUGGGCACUUUAACGAGACUGCCGGUGACAAACCGGAGGAAGGUGGGGAUGACGUCAAGUCCUCAUGGCCCUUAUGGGUAGGGCUUCACACGUCAUACAAUGGUCGGUACAAAGGGUCGCCAACCCGCGAGGGGGAGCCAAUCCCAUAAAGCCGAUCGUAGUCCGGAUUGUAGGCUGCAACUCGCCUGCAUGAAGUCGGAAUCGCUAGUAAUCGUGGAUCAGCAUGUCACGGUGAAUACGUUCCCGGGUCUUGUACACACCGCCCGUC